Calidris pugnax (ruff) is the source of this 2939-nucleotide long non-coding RNA. RefSeq lists it as uncharacterized. The transcript has 6 exons. The record is from RefSeq and is a predicted model, not a curated record. NCBI's taxonomy places the organism in Eukaryota, Metazoa, Chordata, Aves, Charadriiformes, Scolopacidae.
AGGAGGAAAAGAAAAAAAAAAGAGAGAGAAAAAAAAAGAAAUGGAGAAAAAAAAAAAAAAAAGAAGAGAAAGGAAAUGAGAGGCGGAAAAAAAAAACUGGGGAAAAAAGACAACUUUUUGAGACUGGAAUUAAAACCCGAGCCCGAAGCCCCGUCGACUGCAGCUCCGGGGGAUGCCUUGGCCACCAGAAAAAUUCAACAGCAUUCAGCUGUUGUUGAGACCAUUUUACAGCUGUUUACCAGGAGGAAAAAAAAGAAAUCGAUGUGAAACACAAGCAAAUUCGUCCCCUUCUUGUUUGAGAUGAGCAGAAGCUUCGCCUGGUCCAGCCGAUUUUUUUGGGGAGGAGCCGGGGGUUGACCCUACGUGAUGCUCUGCACAUUUUCUGGUGGGUCUCUGGCCCCGGUGGAAGCUCACAGAGAAUUUCCCACUCAGAUGGGCUCGCUCUAACACGAACCCAGGAGUGGGGGCUGCAUGGAAAAAUCCCCAGAGCCACGAGACCCCAACCGUGUGGGAGCUGCCAGCAGGACCUGUCUUGAAGGACCCUCACCAUGGCUGAUCCCACUUGCACCCUCCUCCUCCUCCUGCCAGCAGACCCUGGCCCAGGGCACGGCGUAGACCCCGAUUUCCACCACCAUCCAUCCAGGCUGCUCGAGGCCAGCACUGGGCAUCUCUGGGGGGACACCAGCACCGGUUUGGGGACGGAUGGGAUGGAGAAGACACCAGAACAUCCCCAUUUCACUGCCACGCAUCACCCCAUGGGCAGCACCGGCUCAUGCGAGGGCUGUUAAGGGCUUCAUUUGAAUAAAUAAGUGCGGAGGUGCAGGAGGAACAUCACCAUAACCCCCUGGAAACCCCAGCGCCGGCGACGGCAUCAGAGGACCGGCGAGCGGGAGAAGGGGCCUCGGCGUUAUAUAUUCCAUAAAGUAGAGUAAUUAAGUAUUACUAGUUUUGAUGACUUCAAACGGAGUGACUCCAGGAAAUAAGCCCCUUCUUUAUAAUUAGUGGGAUUUCCUCUGCAUCAAACGGAGAGAUUGAUUCUUUAAUCUGCUCACAUGCUUUUGAUUUGGUCUUUCAGCUGCUUGUACCAACUGCUUCCACUCCCUGCUCUUGCCGAUAAAACCUCGCAAAGGAGAUUUUAGGAAGGCAUGACCUGAGUCGAGGUCCAGGAUUUUCUUUGUGUGUGGCUGUUUUGUGUACUCUUAAUUUGCCCGAGAUGAUGAUCGUGAUGAUAGCAAUAAUAAAAAAUAGACAGAGACACCCAUUUUUAACAUCCACGUAUGUUUAGGGCAAAUAAUUGCGAUUUGGGGGUGGGUUUUUGUUACUUUUUCUCUUCCCAGCACCAUUAUUAGCUCUUCAAGACCUACACAGGUCAUUUUGGUGACCUGUCCACUGUCCCAAGUAGGUCUUACUGCAAAAUCUUGCUCUUGGUAGAGAGCCCAGACCUAGCGCCAGGGUCUGGCUGGGCUUUCAGCAUUUUGAGGGCUCUGUUAAAAUAAAGACUCAAUUUCUUAAGGACUUGGGACAUGCAGGGGGAAGAAGCCCCUUUUCUAGACCAUAUAAAUUGUUUUGUCCUGAUUUAGGGCUAAUCCCAGGAAUUUUUGGAAACUCUGCCAGAAAUCAAAUCCCCCCAAAUGUUGCUGCUUAGUUCAGGGGGGAUCAGGAACUUGUUCCCCUGCGUGUGCAAGAAGCCAAUGGUGAGCAACCAGCUCCAUCCUGGGCAUCUCCAUGGGUUUGGUGGCCCCAUACCAGUCAUCUGGGAAAUCCAGUCUGGGUGAUGUGCUGGUUCCAGGCAUGGACUGGACCUACCCGGUGGUAACCCACCUCCAAGAUAGCUCAGAUUUUCACCCAUAGAAUCAUAGAUUCUCUUAGGAUGGAAAAGAUCUUUAAGAUCAUCAGGUCCAACCAUCAACCCAGGUACUGCCAAGUCCACCACUAACUUUCUUUCUGGCAUGAGGUUCUCCUGGGACUGCCAAGGAGGGAAAAAAAAAAAAGGGGAAAAUUUGGGAUCAUGUUGUCUUCCAUACUUCUUUGGUCCUGUUGGAAAUGUGCAGCGCGGGCAAGGCAGAGGCUCAUGGUGCUGCACCUCGAGUGUGCCCUUUGGGUGACAAUUGGAGGAUGAUGGCUCUACAGGGGGUUAUUUUGGUGGUGGUAGAGCAGGAACUGACAUCCCACCCACAACCCUUCCUUUUUGGUGGGGCUGCCAUUGCUCUGGGUGUGUGUCUUGCACAAAUAUAGGGUGGGGAGGGCAAGCAUGGGGCUGUCCCCACCACACUUUGGUGGCCAAGCAUGGGAUUGCCCCUGCUGCGGUUUGGUGGUCAAGCAUGGGGUUGUUCCCAUUGUGGUUUGGUGGCCAAGCAUGGGGUUAUCUCCAUCUUGGCCUGGUGGCCAAGCAUGGGGUUGUCUCCACCGUGGUGUGGUGGCCAAGCAUGGGGUUGUCCCCACCACGGUUUGGUGGCCACGCAUGAGACUGUCCCCACAAUGGUCUGAUGGUCACCAGCCCCACAAGGAGAAGCAAUGGGAAGGGGGACAGUCAUACUGGAGCCCACCUGGAGCCAGGAGAAGGCUGGGGAGCACAGGGGGAGAGCUGGGGAGCAGUUUAAUAUGCCCCUCGCAAAGCCUCCCCUCAUCUGGAGCGGUGUCGAACACAGAUCGUAUAAUUAGGGACCCGGUGAAUACGUAACUGUACAAUUAUGCAAAUAGUGAUCAAAAUCACUGUUUUCAGCAGAAAUGCCUGAAGAUCAAGACGGAAGCUUCAUGCAACCUUAAUUUAAUCUGGUCCUGCAGGAGCGGGGAAGGUCUGAUGGAUGACCCAACCCCGUGUUCAGCGCGGCCGGGGUGGGAGGCGGGGGAGAGGAGGGAAAACGGCGCCAGGAUCAUCGCAUCGUGUUGGCAAAGCAGGGAGAAAAAUAGCAGAAAAGGAAGUGCUGGUGUUUACAAUG